GACGAACGCUGGCGGCGCGCCUAACACAUGCAAGUCGAACGAGAGAGGAAGGGCUUGCUUUUCCGAUCGAGUGGCGAACGGGUGAGUAACGCGUGAGGAACCUGCCUCAAAGAGGGGGACAACAGUUGGAAACGACAGCUAAUACCGCAUAAGCCCACGGCUCGGCAUCGAGCAGAGGGAAAAGGAGCAAUCCGCUUUGAGAUGGCCUCGCGUCCGAUUAGCUAGUUGGUGAGGUAAUGGCCCACCAAGGCGACGAUCGGUAGCCGGACUGAGAGGUUGAACGGCCACAUUGGGACUGAGACACGGCCCAGACUCCUACGGGAGGCAGCAGUGGGGAAUAUUGCACAAUGGGGGAAACCCUGAUGCAGCGACGCCGCGUGGAGGAAGAAGGUCUUCGGAUUGUAGACUCCUGUUGUUGAGGAAGAUAAUGACGGUACUCAACAAGGAAGUGACGGCUAACUACGUGCCAGCCGCCGCCGUAA
RNAcentral lists this ribosomal RNA (482 nucleotides) under uncultured bacterium. RNAcentral's name for it is "partial 16S ribosomal RNA". It matches the Rfam family "Bacterial small subunit ribosomal RNA", at positions 28 to 523 of the family's 1533-position model. The record is from RNAcentral.